GUGCGGGAGGGGGGAGGGGAGACGGUGGGAAGCCUGCGCCCGGGGAAAGAAAAAGAUGCGUGGUCUCCUUUGUGCGCGAACAAAUGGCCGAGCGCGGGGCGGUCGGGGCCCCAGGUCACGCGCUCCGGGCUGCAGCUGCCGCCUUGGGGCGGGGGUCCCGGGAGGCCGCUGUCCUCGCUCGACCCCGGCGGGCCCAGAGCGCGCCCGGCCCCGACCCGGCUGGCCUAGCGAGGUCAGACCCCGAGAGUGGAAGGCGCAGGACACGCGGACCGCGCUUCUCGUGGUGGACUUUGUCCUAGAAAUGCACUGUGCGUCUGAGAGCCUGACCUCCGAAAACUCCACACCUGUGCGAUUUUAAGUGUACAUUGUUCAACACCCCAUCCCACC
This is a non-coding RNA of Oryctolagus cuniculus (rabbit), 387 nucleotides long. The record is from RefSeq and is a predicted model, not a curated record. Lineage: Eukaryota; Metazoa; Chordata; Mammalia; Lagomorpha; Leporidae.